Molecule: ribosomal RNA, 404 nt
Filed under: uncultured Faecalibacterium sp.
Lineage: Bacteria; Bacillati; Bacillota; Clostridia; Eubacteriales; Oscillospiraceae
Description: bacterial SSU rRNA
Rfam family: Bacterial small subunit ribosomal RNA
Source: RNAcentral
UGGGGAAUAUUGCACAAUGGGGGGAACCCUGAUGCAGCGACGCCGCGUGGAGGAAGAAGGUCUUCGGAUUGUAAACUCCUGUUGUUGAGGAAGAUAAUGACGGUACUCAACAAGGAAGUGACGGCUAACUACGUGCCAGCAGCCGCGGUAAAACGUAGGUCACAAGCGUUGUCCGGAAUUACUGGGUGUAAAGGGAGCGCAGGCGGGAGAACAAGUUGGAAGUGAAAUCCAUGGGCUCAACCCAUGAACUGCUUUCAAAACUGUUUUUCUUGAGUAGUGCAGAGGUAGGCGGAAUUCCCGGUGUAGCGGUGGAAUGCGUAGAUAUCGGGAGGAACACCAGUGGCGAAGGCGGCCUACUGGGCACCAACUGACGCUGAGACUCGAAAGUGUGGGUAGCAAACAGG